ACUGUGGAGAGGAGAGCGUGGCGGCUCGCCCGUGGUCGCCGGGUACGGGGCAGGCCGGUCAUCACCGGCCAUGGCUUCUCCCUCCCUGCUCAACCCCAGGUCCCGUCCCCAUCCCUAUCCCUCACGUUCCCCUCCUCUCCCUCUUUCUCCUCCUUCCCAUCCUCAAACCCUAGCCGCCGCCAGCCGCCAGAGCUUUGGAUCGAGGACAACGACGACCAUGCAAGACGCGCUCGCUACAGGACGGCGGUCGGGGAGGCCCCUGCUCGCUCUCGCGGCCCUCGUGGCCAUAGGGGUGUGAUUCUCGCGCGGGGCUGGGAGAGGAGGGGGGCUAGGUGGAGGUCCGCGACUGAGGGCAGCCGGCGGCGACCACAGCGGCCUCCUCACCGCUCUUCGUGGGGCGCGAGGAGCUCAACCUCGUCGGUGGUUUCGGGAUCCAUGGAGGCCGACAGGUGGCGACCGGGACGGCAGCCGCGAAGAUCCAUGGUUGGCUGGGUUGUGCGACCAGAAGGAGCCGCCGACGAGGACCCACGUGCCUCUCAAGUAAGGACACAACCGUCCCCUCUCUUUCUUCAGCGAUUUUUGGCAGAUUCUUUUGUGGGCACGUGCCUCUCAAGUUUCAGGGUUCCUCAGACUGCCGGCCAGGGUUUGAGUGAAGGCCACACCGCGAGGCCAUGAACCAAGGUGGAGAUGUUCUGCAGUCACAGGCUUGCUCAUUGACAAGGAGGACGACAGUCGAUGGCAGUAGGAAAUAGCCAUGUACUGCAGCAAGGGCAUGAGGAGGAGCCGAACAACUACAUAGUCCUUUUUCAGCAUGACUAGAACAAUGCCUUAUUUUGUAAGCUCUUAAAGCUGGAUCUACUAGAUUAUCUACACAUUAAGCAGAACUCCAAUCCAUUCAUUUGUGUGCCACUUGGAAAUAUGGCUGGCGAUACUACACUUAUGGCAAUAGCUAGCAUAUACUCUGUCUUUUAGAUUUAACCUGAACUCUGAAGACCAUGCUAGAUAAUGUGGUAAUAUCACAGGAACUUUGUUGUGUUCUUUCAUGUCUGCUCCUUAUCUUUCUGCUUCCUUUGGCCGGCGAUGAACGGACCGUGUUGCCGUGACUGCCUAUCUGCGCCUUUGCUCGAAUAUUUGUUUUGCUAUUUAUACUAAGUUACUAACUUCAAGUGUUCAGUGAAUACAACAGUAUGGCUCUGAAGUUUCAGACCAAAGCUUGCAAAUUUGUGUUCACGUGGGUAUUGAGAAAAUUUACUGAAAAUUCUUUUAUUUUGGUUUAUCUUGCUGAAAGGGUUUACUUUUCUUUGGUUUAAUUUGGUUUUCAUUGUUCUGCAGAGGUGAAUUGUUGAGGUACUUGAGCUGGUCCUCAUGGUAAAAAUGGAAUGCGUCGAGAUUGGCAUAUACAUGAUGCUAUGACGGGCCAUAUGGUAUUGAAGACUACAAGGGGAGACCUGCUGAUAGCUACAUGUAUAGAUGCAGCUCAGAUUAAUCCGCUCUCAUUUAGAGAAUGAUGUUGCAGCCUAUGUAGAGUGUAGACAGAGAGUUGCUUGCAUUGGUCCCAGGCAGGUGCUUACUACUCAUGUCUACCCCUGUUUAUUGGUAAUAAUAUUAUGUUGAUGGCUAUGUGUUAUCAUUGUUACUACCGAUUCUGCCCAUUUGCUUUCUGGUGGUAGUGACAUUAGCCUGCAGAGAUAUAAGUUUAAUUAAGUUUCCUGCCACCUAAUGCAUCAUAUAUCCUGUCUAUGAAACGCUGGCAUCAUCAUAUGAGUUUUUGUAUAUGUUUGUAAAUGAAGUAUAUUGUCCUCUUAAUUGAGGUUCUAUCCAAUUAUGGACGACAUACACUAAUUCAACCAGAGAUCUCAUCUUGCAAGUAAAAAUAUCGGUGUGAAAAUUAAUUCAGCCAGAGAGCUGAUCUCCUGAGUAGAUAUAAAACAAUCCUCGUGAUGAGGAUGGCAAAGGCUAAAACAUUUGCAGAACAGAGGGAUACACAUCUACUUUGAAACAUAGAUUAGUUGAUCAUAUAUUGAGCACCAAGGAGGAUUGUUUUUCUAAGAAAUAAUAUAGACUAGGCUGCUUGCACCUGAUGGACCUUCUUAUAUUGACGACAUUUCAGAGGUUUUCUUAUCUAUAUGUUGACUGCAAAAAUGAUAUGAUGGGUGAGUUGUCAUGCAGAAAUGAGAGGCGGCCAGGUGAGAUUUGUAUGUCAGACCAAAGUAGGGCUGCAGGAAUUAUCCUUAGAUGCCAUUUUUCUGGCUCGUAGUUUGCUUCCAAUUAUUUAUUUCAUAUUGACACUUGCUUAGACUUGGGCUUGUGCCAUGCCACGUUGUCUAUUGAUAACCCCCUGAUCUUAUUUGUCAUAUUGCCUUCAUUUAACCAUGACAAAGUCGCUCCAGACCUUUUAUUACAUAUAAGUCGUAUCUUGAAAUCUACUAAUUCGUGUCUUUCAUCUAUGUCCGUUUGAAGAUACACUCGUCUUGAUCUGGACCUGUGUUUGGUUCCUAGAAGAGGCUUACACGUAUAGGGUUGUUAUACAACAGCCUUAAAAUAGGUGCCCUUCUAAAUAAUGAUGGUGCCCUUCUAAGUAGACAUAUUUAAACUUUCCUACUAUGGUAACUCAGUUUUGGAUGUCCCGACUAAUGAUGGUUCCCUUCUAAGUAGGUAUAGAAUAUAGUAAUAUACCUCGGUUAACUGAUAAUAUUUAGUUCUAUGAGAUUGCCCCAAGUCUAAUAUUGUUGGUGAGAUCUCACUCCAAAUUAACUAUCUAAAUGCGGCUCUUCUUUGUGGUACUACUAUCUUGUGUGUAUCUACUUAUUCUAAGAAAUUUUGAUGGAAAAGACAAAAUAAAUCCUCCCUGUAUUUUUAUAAUUGUAACAUUGCUAACUGCCGCUGAGCUGUAGUAUUAGUUGUCCACUCUGUAUAUUACUAUUUUUCUGUGAUAUCUAAUUGUGCUUUUAAUCUGCACUCUGCAGGUACCCAUCAUACUCUGGACCAAAUAUAUGGCGAGCUGAUCCUCUGCCUGAGCUUGAAAUAGAUAUGACUAGGCGAACUAUCCUGGCAUUGAAAAUCUACCUGCAAGAUUUCACAUCUUUAUUCGCACUGCAUUAAAAGUUGUCUUGGUAUUCUGUCUUGUAAAUCGUUUAAAACUCUUGGAAAGCUAAUGUUGGAGGUCACUUUAACUUAGUAUGGUUCUGUGAAGAAAUACAAAUUUAUAGGUAACUGUGUUACGAAUGACCCAGUAGUGAAACUCAAUGCAGCAAUGUAUCUACAUGAUUCUGGGUACAUUCGAAACUAUUUAAAUGCAUUCAUGCACAAACAACUUCCAUUUUUUGUAUAUAUAAGAACUAGAUGGCAGCUCCAGGUCUGUAGUUUCCAAGGCACACAUACAAUAUGUUUGCUAGAUGUGAACUGAUAGGUUCUGAUCAUGCCUGAUAGUUGGUUCUGUAAAAUGCAAAUGUUUUCUCCAUGUGCAUUACCUGAUGUCUAUCUUGAUGAGCAAUAAAUAAGCCAAAGUAUGUACAUCCUAGAUUUUACACUUCACUGUUUAAAUGUGAGCUUACUCUACUCUUCCUCCAUUGCAUCUAGAUAUACAAUUUCAUUUUUGAUAUAAGAUUGUAAUUGGGCAGCGUUAAUUAUUUCUGCGGUCCAUGCUAUGUGGAACCUUGCUUCAUUGCUUUACUGUCUCUUUUCUAGAGAUUGGUCAUGUUAUUGUUGUUUACUAAACAAAGACGCCACUGCUAUUUGUAAGAUGUUUCAGUGUUAUUUUUUGUAGCCAGGGGAGAGCUUGGAAGGGGCAGGGAGAAGGGAAAGCAUGGAAAGCCUGGGGAAAGCUUGGAAGUUGGUCAAGUCAUUUACCAUUGUGUUUUUUUUUGUUGAAUAAUCUAUUUUUCAUUCAUGAAAGCUAUGGUAGUGGAACAACUACACUGUGUACCCAAACUUGGCCCUCUAUGACUGUAUUUGGAUAGUAUUUUCACUGAACCAUCUACCCAGGUUUAUAUAUACUUCAUGUAUUAUGCAAUUA
Molecule: long non-coding RNA, 4015 nt
Organism: Lolium rigidum
Lineage: Eukaryota; Viridiplantae; Streptophyta; Magnoliopsida; Poales; Poaceae
Exons: 5
Source: RefSeq, a predicted model, not a curated record